Molecule: ribosomal RNA, 499 nt
Filed under: uncultured bacterium
Lineage: Bacteria
Description: partial 16S ribosomal RNA
Rfam family: Bacterial small subunit ribosomal RNA
Source: RNAcentral
AUUGAACGCUGGCGGCAUGCGUAACACAUGCAAGUCGAACGGUUUCUGGUGCUUGCACCGGAGAUAGUGGCGGACGGGUGAGUAAUACGUAGGAAUCUGUCUUAGCGAGGGGGACAACCUGAGGAAACUUAGGCUAAAACCGCAUAAACUCGGAAGAGAAAAGCAGGGGACCGGAAACGGCUUGAGCUCUAAGGUGAGCCUACGUCGGGUUAGCUAGUUGGUGGGGUAAAGGCCUACCAAGGCGAUGAUCUGUAGCUGGUCUGAGAGGACGGACAGCCACACUGGGACUGAGACACGGCCCAGACUCCGACGGGAGGCAGCAGUGGGGAAUAUUGGACAAUGGGGGGAACCCGGAUCCAGCGAUGCCGCGUGUGUGAAGAAGGCCUGCGGGUUGUAAAGCACUUCCAGUUGGAAAGAGAAGCGAGAGGAGAAUAUUGUUUCGUGGAGACGUUACUAACAGAAGAAGCGCCGGCUAACUCUGUGCCAGCCGCCGCGGUAA